AUGCUGGAUCCACCACAUCAUCAAGGCAACUUGAACGUUAUGGAGUACAGUGAACGUUGGGCGUCUCACCAUAAUGCUCCAGUGCCCAACCUUUUCGUCUCGUAUGCUUUGGCCCAUAAGGCACCGUACAGAACAGCCACGCCUUACGAUGAGAAUGACACAGCGUCCGCGUACUCCAGCAAGACCGCCUACGAUCGGAUGGAGAAAUUUAAAGGGGUGGCAAAAGAGUUGAAAGGGCCCGAGUAUGAUGUGACAACAGAGCCUCUUGACCACGCUUUGGUCAUGAUCUCUGGAGAAGGCAGGAAACAUGGCAAGGAAGCAAUUGCAGGAGGCAUGUUCCCUAGCUCCUCCCGUAGCUCUCUCCCUGAAUACAAAGCUCGGUUACGUAUCUCAAAAUCGUCUACAUAUAAACGCUCGACUCCAGCUAUGGUUGAGAUGGAGGCCUGA
Molecule: ribosomal RNA, 447 nt
Filed under: Triticum aestivum (bread wheat)
Lineage: Eukaryota; Viridiplantae; Streptophyta; Magnoliopsida; Poales; Poaceae
Description: partial small subunit ribosomal RNA
Source: RNAcentral